AGGAUGAACGCUAGCGGCAGGCCUAAUACAUGCAAGUCGAACGGUCGGUGGCAACACCGAUAGUGGCGCACGGGUGCGUAACGCGUAACCAACCUACCCACUACUGGGGAUAGCCCGCCGAAAGGCGGAUUAAAUACCGCAUGAGGCUUUGGUCCGGCAUCGGGCAGAAGCUAAAGAUUCAUUGGUAGUGGAUGGGGUUGCGUGCCAUUAGCUGGUUGGCGGGGUAACGGCCCACCAAGGCGACGAUGGCUAGGGGAGCUGAGAGGCUGGUCCCCCCACACGGGCACUGAGAUACGGGCCCGACUCCUACGGGAGGCAGCAGUAGGGAAUAUUGGGCAAGUGGGGGCAACCCUGAACGAGCAACGCCGCGUGCAGGAAGAAGGUUUUCGGAUCGUAAACUGCUUUUCGCGGGGAAGAGAACGGACGGUACCCGAGGAAUCAGCCCCGGCUAACUACGUGCCAGCAGCCGC
RNAcentral lists this ribosomal RNA (470 nucleotides) under uncultured bacterium. RNAcentral describes it as "SSU rRNA". It matches the Rfam family "Bacterial small subunit ribosomal RNA", at positions 26 to 518 of the family's 1533-position model. The record is from RNAcentral.